Molecule: ribosomal RNA, 497 nt
Filed under: uncultured bacterium
Lineage: Bacteria
Description: partial 16S ribosomal RNA
Rfam family: Bacterial small subunit ribosomal RNA
Source: RNAcentral
GAUGAACGCUGGCGGCGUGCCUAAUACAUGCAAGUCGAGCGAACAGACGAGGAGCUUGCUCCUCUGACGUUAGCGGCGGACGGGUGAGUAACACGUGGAUAACCUACCUAUAAGACUGGGAUAACUUCGGGAAACCGGAGCUAAUACCGGAUAAUAUAUUGAACCGCAUGGUUCGAUAGUGAAAGACGGUUUUGCUGUCACUUAUAGAUGGAUCCGCGCCGCAUUAGCUAGUUGGUAAGGUAACGGCUUACCAAGGCAACGAUGCGUAGCCGACCUGAGAGGGUGAUCGGCCACACUGGAACUGAGACACGGUCCAGACUCCUACGGGAGGCAGCAGUAGGGAAUCUUCCGCAAUGGGCGAAAGCCUGACGGAGCAACGCCGCGUGAGUGAUGAAGGUCUUCGGAUCGUAGAACUCUGUUAUUAGGGAAGAACAAAUGUGUAAGUAACUAUGCACGUCUUGACGGUACCUAAUCAGAAAGCCACGGCUAACUACGUG